UUGUGGAUCUUAUUAUUUACUUUUCUUUCACUUUCAAUGUUGACCUUGUUCUUUCAUAUAAUUGAACACGCACAUUGCAUGCAGUAUCCUCCACUAGCUAAGGGGUUAAAUUGAAGUUCACAUAAAUAAGAAUGUAAUGAGGUCAAAUUAUAUACUUACAAGUGAAUAAUUCAUGAUCAAUGUUUCUUACUUUUUUAUGACAAAAUUGAACCAUACUGGCUGCUAAAAACGAUAUAUUAUUUCACUAUUUCAUUUUUAUGAAUGAUUGAACUAAACAAAUCCUAUGUAUAUAAAAUUGGAUGGAAAUGGGGAAUGUGCCAAAGAGACAACAACCCGACCAUAGAAAAAAA
RNAcentral lists this long non-coding RNA (350 nucleotides) under Mytilus galloprovincialis (Mediterranean mussel). Lineage: Eukaryota; Metazoa; Mollusca; Bivalvia; Mytilida; Mytilidae. The record is from RNAcentral.